RNAcentral lists this long non-coding RNA (965 nucleotides) under Junco hyemalis (dark-eyed junco). RNAcentral's name for it is "lncRNA (ENSJHYG00000018188.1)". The record is from RNAcentral. Lineage: Eukaryota; Metazoa; Chordata; Aves; Passeriformes; Passerellidae.
AUUUCCCCCCAGUUUUCCCCCCCAAUAUUUUCCCCAUUUCCCCCCAAAUUUCUCCAAUUUUUCCCCCAAUUUCCCCCAAAUUUCCCCAAUUUUUUCCCAGAACAAGAAGAAAAAGCCCAAAGCCAAAGCCCAGCCCGACCCCUCCCCCUCAGCCCCCGGGCCGGAGGAAAAGUUGGAAAAUUGGGAAAAAUUGGGAAUUUCCAUCAAUGGUUUCCAUGGCAACCGCUCCCCAUCCCUGGAGUCGCUCCCUGAGCCCGGGGCAGCCCUGGGCAAUGGAAUCCCAAAUUUUCCUGCCCCGACCCCGACCCGGAGCAGCCCCGGAUCCCCCGGGGGGAGGAAACUGGCCUCAUGGACCGGGAGGUGGCUCUGCUGGCUGAGAUGGACAAAGUCAAGGCAGAAGCAAUGGAUCUGCUCUCCCUGCGGCAGCGCCGGGCGGAGUCUCUGCGCGCGCUGACCGAGGCCGCCCCGGCCAUGUCGGAGGAGCAGCUGCAGGAGCUGCGGGCCGACAUCAAGGUGAGCCUGGAAUUCCAUAAAAAUCCAUAAAAAUCCCACAAAAAUCCCACAAAAAUCCCAUAAAAAUCCCACAAAAAUCCCAUAAAAAUCCCACAAAAAUCCCAUUAAAAUCCCGACCCCGAUCCCGUGGGAAUUCCAUAAAAAUCCCACAAAAAUCCAUAAAAAUCCCACAAAAAUCCAUAAAAAUCCCAUAAAAAUCCCAUAAAAAUCCCACAAAAAUCCCAUUAAAAUCCCAUAAAAAUCCCACAAAAAUCCCACAAAAAUCCCAUUAAAAUCCCAUUAAAAUCCCGACCCCGAUCCCGUGGGAAUUCCAUAAAAAUCCCAUAAAAAUCCCGACCCCAGUCCCAGCCUGAAUCCUAUAAAAAUUCCAACCCCCAUCCUGUGGGAAUUCUCACCCCAUUCCCCAUUGGGAAUUCCCAUUUUCCCCAUUUGCUUGGGGAUUCCUGUUUUCC